GGGUCCUUUUCACUUUCCGUUUUGUUUUUCCAACAGCCACCGAAGUUGCGGGCAGGUAAAACCAGGGACUUCCUCGACCCUGGCUUUGGCCUGCGUCGGAACCGCCAGGCUUGCUGGGAACAGCGCCCAACCGGUUCCUCAAACAGGUUGUGCCACGUGGCCUUGACCCGUGACACCCCUGCAGCUCGCGCCGAUUUGCACUCUCGGAGCGAAUGAGUCUUCUGGGCGGCUUCUCAGCCAGACAGCCCCGAGCGCUAUGCAAACCCAGUCCGACUGGCCUCCGGUGACCGACGACAUCCUGCGGCCUUCGCCUUUUGCGCAUCCUGGGCUGCACACCCUCCAUUGCGUGGCCCGCGUGCUGCUCUUCCCGACCUACUGGGCUCUGGACCAGUUGAUUGGCUGCUGGGCACCAACAGCGCGCCCCAGCAGGCUGAGAGCAGCAGCUGGCGGCGGGGUGGCGCUGCUGCUGCUCCUGCUAGUUGGCCUACCGCUGGCGUUGCCUGGCUUGCUACUCUGGCUGCCGCUGCAGGCCUGUCGCCGCCCCUUCUGCUACCAGCCCCCUCCUCCGUGCUGGGUGCCGCCCACGCCCUGGCGCCCGUGCGCUGAGUUUGCGCGCUGCUUUGUCUUCCUCACUGCCAACCUGUGCCUGCUCCCCGACGGGCUGGCGCGCUUCAGCAAUCUGCCACACAGCCAACAACGCGCAGAGGCCAUUGGCGCUACGCUGUUAAACGGCCUACGGCCCUCGCUUUAUGGAGCUACCGGAUGCAGCCCACAAAGGCUUGGGGAGCCAGGCGGGACGCUGACGGCCCAGAUGCCCGCGGGGCUGGACUUUGUGUGCCUGCAGGAGGUGUUCGAUAUUCGCGCAGCUCGACGCCUGGUGCGCUGCUUGGCUCCGAAUCUGGGCCCGGUGCUGUAUGACGUAGGCACACUUGGCCUACAGCCUGGGCCAUACUUAAAACUGCUAGGCAGCGGGCUCCUGCUGGCUUCCCGCUACCCGCUUCUGCGUGCCAACUUCCGUUGCUUUCCCAAUGCGCGUCGCGAGGACGCCUUUGCCUCCAAGGGUCUACUAUCCGCUCAGGUAUAUUCCCACAGGCUGUGUGCUCUGGCCCUGGAUGGGGUGAGCUGUUGGGCCGAAUGGGCAAUGAAAGCUGGUACUGUCGGUGGUGUUGCAGGUGCAACUGGGCAUCCUGGACGGGCACCGCGUAGUGGGAUUCCUGCAUUGCACGCAUUUACAUGCACCCACUGGUGAGCCCUGUGGGAAGGAUUGUUGGACGGUAGCCAGGCCCUCCUACGGCCCCUCUUUCGCAGCAGGCCUACCCUUAUUUGCACCUCUCUUUCCCACUGCCCACUGUUUUUUGUUCACUGCCCCAGUAAUGGCAACUCCCAAGAAGUGCCUGGGUGGGUGCAGAGACCCCAGUCUAGCGGGAACCAGGUGUCCAGGAUGUGGAUCCUCAACCUGGGCCGAAUAGAAGGCGGCACACCUCUACCCCCACCCUCCACCCCUUCUGUAGAGGAUGGGCUCUUGCGCUGCAAACAGCUGACGCUGCUACUGGACUGGGCAGAGCAGUUUGAGGCCGAGAGCCGCCAGAGUGGUGAGGCUGUGGCCUUUAGUGUGCUUCUGGGUGACCUAAAUUUUGACAACUGCUCAAAAGGUGAGGAGCUUAGCUGGGGGAGGCGAGGCCAAAAGGCCCAGCCCCGCCCACUGAACGCUGGUCUUAUGUGCAGACCACGCACAGGAACAGGGGCACAAACUCUUUCGCUGUUUCCGGGAUCCCUGCCGGCUGAGCACACGCCAGGAUCAGCCUUGGGCCUUGGGUAUGCGUCAGGGGGUUGGUGGGGGAGGGGUGGCCCCUCCAGGGAUUCAUCAGCUAGGCACCUGCUGAUUCAACCACCCCCACCCGCCCCCCACAGGAACCAUCCUAAGCACCUCCACCCUCCACCAAUCAGUAGCUAGCUCACCGGAGAUGCUGCGGAGG
Molecule: long non-coding RNA, 1976 nt
Filed under: Marmota monax (woodchuck)
Lineage: Eukaryota; Metazoa; Chordata; Mammalia; Rodentia; Sciuridae
Source: RNAcentral